RNAcentral lists this ribosomal RNA (1006 nucleotides) under uncultured Sphingobacteriales bacterium. RNAcentral describes it as "bacterial SSU rRNA". It matches the Rfam family "Bacterial small subunit ribosomal RNA", at positions 39 to 1046 of the family's 1533-position model. The record is from RNAcentral. Lineage: Bacteria; Pseudomonadati; Bacteroidota; Sphingobacteriia; Sphingobacteriales.
UCGGACUGCUUACACAUGCAGUCGAGGGGUAACGAUGUAGCUUGCUACAGGCGACGACCGGCGCACGGGUGCGUAACGCGUAUGCAACCUGCCUAUUACAGAGGGAUAGCCCAUGGAAACGUGGAUUAAUACCUCAUAAUAAUUUUUAUAGCAUUAUAAAAAUUUGAAAACUCAGGUGGUAAUAGAUGGGCAUGCGUGACAUUAGCUAGUUGGUGAGGUAAGGGCUCACCAAGGCGACGAUGUCUAGGGGUUCUUAAAGGAAGGUCCCCCACACUGGUACUGAGACACGGACCAGACUCCUACGGGAGGCAGCAGUGAGGAAUAUUGGUCAAUGGGCGCAAGCCUGAACCAGCCACUCCGCGUGAAGGAUUACAGCCCUAUGGGUUUUAAACUUCUUUUAUAUGGGAAGAAUUGUAGUUACGUGUAAUUACUUGCCGGUACCAUAUGAAUAAGCAUCGGCUAACUCCGUGCCAGCAGCCGCGGUAAUACGGAGGAUGCAAGCGUUAUCCGGAUUUAUUAGGUUUAAAGGGUGCGUAGGCUGUUGUACAAGUCAGUGGUGAAAUCCUAUAGCUCAACUAUAGAAUUGCCUUUGAAACUGUAUGACUAGAAUUCAGGAGAGGUAGGCGGAAUGUGUAGUGUAGCGGUGAAAUGCAUAGAUAUUACACAGAACACCAAUUGCGAAGGCAGCUUACUAAACUGCGAUUGACGCUGAUGCACGAAAGCGUGGGUAGCGAACAGGAUUAGAUACCCUGGUAGUCCACGCCGUAAACGAUGAAUACUGGUUGUGUGCGAUAAUUAACUGUACGUGACUGAGCGAAAGCAUUAAGUAUUCCACCUGGGGAGUACGUUGGCAACAAUGAAACUCAAAGGAAUUGACGGGGCCCGCACAAGCGGAGGAACAUGUGGUUUAAUUCGAUGAUACGCGAGGAACCUUACCUGGGCUUAAAUGCAGCUUGCAUGUGAAAGAGAUUUCACUUUUCUUCGGAACUAGCUACAAGUGCUGCAU